This 139-nucleotide microRNA precursor is filed under the name Olea europaea subsp. europaea. The record is from RNAcentral. Lineage: Eukaryota; Viridiplantae; Streptophyta; Magnoliopsida; Lamiales; Oleaceae.
AGAGUUUAUUAACAACAGUUGCUAUUAGAGCCACAAUUAUAAAUAUUUUAAAGUCAUGGAUUUUUUGCCCUUUUUUGAAAGGAACAUUGGCUUUUGUUGAUUGUUGUGGUUCUGAUACCAAUUGUUGUAAAUAAAUUUU